Molecule: ribosomal RNA, 483 nt
Filed under: uncultured bacterium
Lineage: Bacteria
Description: partial 16S ribosomal RNA
Rfam family: Bacterial small subunit ribosomal RNA
Source: RNAcentral
GACGAACGCUGGCGGCGUGCUUAACACAUGCAAGUCGAACGAUGAAGCGGGUGCUUGCACUCGUGGAUUAGUGGCGAACGGGCGAGUAACACGUGAGUAACCUGUCCUUUUCUUUGGGAUAACGGCUGGAAACGGCUGCUAAUACUGGAUAUUCAGGCUGCAUCGCAUGGUGUGGUUUGGAAGGGUUUUUUCUGGGAUUGGGUGGGCUCGCGGCCUAUCAGCUUGUUGGUGGGGUGAUGGCUUACCAAGGCUUUGACGGGUAGCCGGCCUGAGAGGGUGGUCGGUCGCACUGGGACUGAGAUACGGCCCAGACUCCUACGGGAGGCAGCAGUGGGGAAUAUUGCACAAUGGACGAAAGUUUGAUGCAGCGACGCCGCGUGGAGGGUGUAGGCCUUCGGGUUGUGAACUCCUUUUUCUCGCGAAAAAGGCACAGUUUUGGCUGUGUUGAUGGUAGUGGGGGAAGAAGCGCCGGCUAACUACGUG